This 450-nucleotide ribosomal RNA is filed under the name uncultured bacterium. RNAcentral describes it as "partial 16S ribosomal RNA". It matches the Rfam family "Bacterial small subunit ribosomal RNA", at positions 338 to 795 of the family's 1533-position model. The record is from RNAcentral.
CCUACGGGUGGCAGCAGUGGGGAAUAUUGGACAAUGGGCGGAAGCCUGAUCCAGCAAUACCGCGUGUGUGAAGAAGGCCUGAGGGUUGUAAAGCACUUUCAAUAGGAAGGAAUACCUAUCCAUUAAUACUGGGUAGACUGACAUUACCUAUACAAGAAGCACCGGCUAACUCCGUGCCAGCAGCCGCGGUAAUACGGAGGGUGCAAGCGUUAAUCUGAAGUACUGGGCGUAAAGCGGUUAAAUCCGACUCGAAAGCCCUGGGCUUAACCUGGGAAUGGCAUUUGAUACUGGCGAGCUAGAGUUGAGUAGAGGGGAGUGGAAUUUCAGGUGUAGCGGUGAAAUGCGUAGAGAUCUGAAGGAACACCAGUGGCGAAGGCGACUCCCUGGACUCAAACUGACGCUGAGGUACGAAAGCGUGGGUAGCAAACAGGAUUAGAUACCCUUGUAGUC